GUUUAGACCAGUUUGACACCAGUUUGAUGAAUAAGUUCUUUAUAAUCACAAUGAUUCAUUAAUAAAGUCAAAAAAAUUUAAAACCAGUUUAGACCAGUUUGUAACCAGUUUGAUACCAGUUUGAUACCGGUUUGAUACCGGUUUGACACCAGUUUGAUACCAGUUUGACACCAGUUUGAUCAAUAAGUUCUUUAUAAUCACAAUGAUUUAUUAAUAACAAAAAUUGCAAUCAAAGUUUGAGUUUGUCACUUUACACACUGAAGUACGAGUUCGAUUUAAGGACUCCCAAUUAUCCUAACUGUAGAAUGAUAACAGUCCUUUUGUUGUUCACGUCUGAACCUUUGUUCCCUUUUAUCUUGGGCUUUCAAUUCGCACGAGUCCGACCUCAUCACUCUCCUACCCAGUGGCAGGCCCUUCAAUCUACUAAACCUUACUACUCCCCAUUAAUCUCCAAUUUUAUAAAGUCUUUAAACUUUUAUUUUUUAAGUUUUUUUAGUAUUUUAAAGGAAAUCAUGGCGAACCACAAUGGUUGGUCCUGAUUUCCACCUGGAGGUCCGUCGCCGGUGCACCUCCCGGAAAUCAGGGCCAAGGUCUUGGCCCUGAUUUCCGGGAAUACUUGGCCCUGAUUUCCGGGAAAUAGAUGAUCACUUGUUCACCUACUAAUCUGACAACUAGUUGUUAAUUAAAGGAAUUGUGGUAGACACUUAUAGAAGACUUACAUUAAACAUCGUAAUGAGAUUUACGAACAGGUACAGUUAAUAUUAUAAGAAAAUUUAAAGAGCCGCCUUUUCAAAUCGUUCACGUCGGACACUUGAUGGUACUAUCAUAUAUACAAGAACGUUUAACCGACAGUACUGGGCCUCUAAGUGUAGACAUACCAGGAAACGUGUAGUUACGAACCUUUAACUCUCCAGUUGAAUAUUCUGUACAUCUAAUAAUGAAGUCAAAAGAGACCAUAGUAGAGACGCAAGGUCAUUGUCUAGUCAUUCAAUACAAUAAGACAGAGUGUUUAAUAUAUCAGGUUCCGAAGUACAAUGCUCACGUAGAAAAAGAGAAACGAUUGGGAAAAACCAAUUCCAAAAAAAAAGAACCUUGACGCGUUCGCAGAAAGGAAACUGUUCGAACUCUGAGAAGUAAAAAAACCCAGGUUUGAUACCUCUGUCGGUAACGAUUGCACAAAUGUUUCGUCAACGAAUUAAAGUUAUGAUACCAGAGAGUUGAAAGUACUCGUUAACGAACUUAAUUAUAAUACUUAGGAUUUCUUUUAGAACUACGUCUACCAUUUUGUAAGACCAGUUCCACUUCGACGUAGCCUCUGACAGCUUAAAACGAAUGCCAUAUACCUACGCCUUUGGUCUUUGAACAAACACUAUUGAAUCGAAAUAUAGACUGGUUCACAGUCCACAAGGGAUCUCGAGACCUUCUAAAACUGAACCGUGAUGUACUUAGUGGUUCGUUACCCAGUCGUAGAUAACUUCGGUACUCCUCGUUUUAGUAACUGUAGUAACUUCGAAACCUGUUAUAGAACGUUUAACACGGUAAUUUCGACUACGGCUUUCCUUCCUACGAGCCUCUACGGUCCCUGGUUUUUUCUCCUUUUUGUUAUAUACUUUGAACACUCUUUGACUCGACACUUCCUCGACACCAGAACCCAACAGCGACCAAGGACAGAGAGUAAACGACCAAUGAGUAUAGCUAUCACAAGAAUACAUUGGAGGGCACCCUUUAGAAGUAACCUCAACAAUAGAAUUAGGGUAGUAUGAAUAUACCCUAGAAACAUCAAACAUCUAUUGCCACGUACUAGGCUAGUCAUGGGAGCCAUCCCAACGAUUACACCGACCUUCAGAGUCUAGCCCCUAGUGUGUUCCCAAAAUGGAUCCAAUCCUCAUUAUGGGAUACAGGACGAACAAUGAUAAUAAAUACCACCCACAUGGAACACACUCCCUAACGUUACUUCUAAUACCAUACGAUAGCACUCAAUAAAGAUUCGCU
Molecule: ribosomal RNA, 1992 nt
Filed under: Triticum aestivum (bread wheat)
Lineage: Eukaryota; Viridiplantae; Streptophyta; Magnoliopsida; Poales; Poaceae
Description: partial small subunit ribosomal RNA
Source: RNAcentral